AUUGAACGCUGGCGGCGUGCUUAACACAUGCAAGUCGAUCGGUAACAGGUGUAGCAAUACAUGCUGACGAGAGGCGGACGGGUGAGUAAUGCUUGGGAAUCUGCCUAUUAGUGGGGGACAACCCGGGGAAACUCGGGCUAAUACCGCAUACGCUCUACGGAGGAAAGCCGGGGACCGCAAGGCCUGGCGCUAAUAGAUGAGCCCAAGUCGGAUUAGCUAGUUGGUAGGGAACGGCCUACCAAGGCGACAAUCCGUAGCUGGUCUGAGAGGACGACCAGCCACACCGGAACUGAGACACGGUCCGGACUCCUACGGGAGGCAGCAGUGGGGAAUAUUGGACAAUGGGGGCAACCCUGAUCCAGCGACGCCGCGUGGGUGAAGAAGGCCUGCGGGUUGUAAAGCCCUUUCGGUGGGGAAGAAAAGUCUCGACCUAAUACGUUGGGACCUUGACGUAACUCACUAAAGAAGCACCGGCUAACUCUGUGCCAGCAGCCGCUGUAAC
This 502-nucleotide ribosomal RNA is filed under the name uncultured bacterium. RNAcentral describes it as "bacterial SSU rRNA". It matches the Rfam family "Bacterial small subunit ribosomal RNA", at positions 29 to 524 of the family's 1533-position model. The record is from RNAcentral.